Molecule: long non-coding RNA, 651 nt
Filed under: Setaria italica (foxtail millet)
Lineage: Eukaryota; Viridiplantae; Streptophyta; Magnoliopsida; Poales; Poaceae
Description: long non-coding RNA (SITA_LNC002227)
Source: RNAcentral
UGAUGCGUACAACUGAAUGUAUUGAUUCAGAGAAUGUUGUCAUUCAGAGAAUGUAUUGAUGCAUCCAACUGAACGUGUCGCACGAUGUUCUACCUAUUAAUCAUUUCCAAUCUCGUCUACAGAUUGAUACACACCCAAAAAAGAAUGGCAAAUGGACCGUAGAAUUGGAUAGGAAAAAUCUGAUGUGCAAAGCAAAACACCGGCGGCCGGAAAAAUCUAACGUGCAAAGCAAAACACCGGCAAGUGGUGUUGUAGUUGACGACGAAGAUCUUGGCCGCGGGGCAUCCCCGCGCGCACAUACGCCCCGUGCAGCGCGUGGAACUGCGCUCCGGUCGGCAUAUCUACUGUUGACGGGCGGCAGGCAGGAGGGCCGGAUCUCCUGUUGACGGGCGGCCGGGAGGGGCUCCGGCGGCGGGCGCCACCCUCUGCCGCGCAGAGGCGUCUGGCGCCGUGCUCGUGCUGGAGGGGCACGCCGUCGAUGAGGGAGGGGCCCACGCGACGGAGCGGCACGGCAGCGCCCCCGAUGACUGUGCACGUGGUGGUGGGCUCCCCGUCGAAGGAGACCGCGGGCGGCGGCCCCCAAGUUGCGACGCGGCGGCGGACCCUGCGAGGGACAGGAGGCAGGACGUGAGCGGUGAGGGUGGGGCUGUC